Molecule: ribosomal RNA, 76 nt
Filed under: Priestia megaterium
Lineage: Bacteria; Bacillati; Bacillota; Bacilli; Caryophanales; Bacillaceae
Description: Bacillus megaterium partial 16S ribosomal RNA
Rfam family: Bacterial small subunit ribosomal RNA
Source: RNAcentral
UUUCUUCGGAGAGUUUGAUCCUGGCUCAGGAUGAACGCUGGCGGCGUGCCUAAUACAUGCAAGUCGAGCGAACUGA